This 465-nucleotide ribosomal RNA is filed under the name uncultured bacterium. RNAcentral's name for it is "partial 16S ribosomal RNA". It matches the Rfam family "Bacterial small subunit ribosomal RNA", at positions 338 to 795 of the family's 1533-position model. The record is from RNAcentral.
CCUACGGGAGGCAGCAGUAGGGAAUUUUCGUCAAUGGGCGCAAGCCUGAACGAGCAAUGCCGCGUGAACGAGGAAGGUCUUCGGAUCGUAAAGUUCUGUUGGAGGGGAAAAAGAGCGGAGAGAGGAAAUGCUUUCUGAUUGAUAUUACCCUUCGAGGAAGUCACGGCUAACUACGUGCCAGCAGCCGCGGUAAUACGUAGGUGGCGAGCGUUAUCCGGAAUGAUUGGGCGUAAAGGGUGCGUAGGCGGCCUGAUAAGUCUGGCGUGAAAUGUACCGGCUCAACCUGUACAGGGUAUGGGAACAGGGGGGGUAGGGGGCAGGAGAGGGCGGGGGAAAUGCAUGGGUAACGGGAGAAUGGGGAGGUAUAUGGGAGAACAUCAGUGGCGAAGGCGGCCGCCUGGCCUGAUGACUGACGCUGAGGCACGAAAGCGUGGGGAGCAAAUAGGAUUAGAUACCCUAGUAGUC